RNAcentral lists this ribosomal RNA (430 nucleotides) under uncultured bacterium. Its description in RNAcentral is "bacterial SSU rRNA". It matches the Rfam family "Bacterial small subunit ribosomal RNA", at positions 30 to 460 of the family's 1533-position model. The record is from RNAcentral.
AUUGAACGCUGGCGGCAGGCCUAACGCAUGCAAGUCGAGCGGUAGAGAGGUGCUUGCAUCUCUUGAGAGCGGCGGACGGGUGAGUAAUGCCUAGGAAUCUGCCUAGUGGUGGGGGAUAACGUUCGGGAACGGACGCUAAUACCGCAUACGUCCUACGGGAGAAAGCGGGGGAUCUUCGGACCUCGCGCCAUUAGAUGAGCCUAGGUCGGAUUAGCUAGUUGGUGAGGUAAUGGCUCACCAAGGCGACGAUCCGUAACUGGUCUGAGAGGAUGAUCAGUCACACUGGAACUGAGACACGGUCCAGACUCCUACGGGAGGCAGCAGUGGGGAAUAUUGGACAAUGGGCGAAAGCCUGAUCCAGCCACGCCGCGUGUGUGAAGAAGGUCUUCGGAUUGUAAAGCACUUUAAGUUGGGAGGAAGGGUAGUAACC